RNAcentral lists this long non-coding RNA (628 nucleotides) under Helianthus annuus (common sunflower). RNAcentral's name for it is "hypothetical non coding rna". The record is from RNAcentral. Lineage: Eukaryota; Viridiplantae; Streptophyta; Magnoliopsida; Asterales; Asteraceae.
ACAAACAUCAAAAUACCACCCUUCAAAGUUCAGUUGAACUUUACGCAACCAACACUGCCAAUCAAUCUUAUCUUCUCCAUCUCCUCAAAACAACUUUACGGCAACCAAACUGCUUCAAAGUUUACCACCCUUCAAAGUUCAGUUCAAGUUGAUCUUAUCUUCUCCAUCUCCUCAAAGUUCAGUUCAACAAAUAUCACCGCCCACCCUUCGGUUCUUCACCUAGGUCGUGCCGGAAACUAGAUUUGCAGUUCAGUUCAACAAAUAUCACCGCCCCCCCCCCCCCCCUUCAGAUGAAGACGAUGAGGUUUUGAGGGCCGGCGACCGGAGACGCCGCUCACGGCGGCGGUCUUUAUCUCCGACCGGAGACGCCGCUCACGGAAAUUUAAAACUAAAGGGCAGCAAGUGAAUAACAAAAAGAAAGAAGCAAGAUGGGAAUUUCUAGUUAGAAAAGUUGAAGCAGCUAAAGCUGUAUCGUCGGAUAUGUAAUUUUAUUAUGUAAUUUUAUUAUGUAAUUUUAUUUUGGUUAUGCUCGUAGAUUUUAAACAUUUUUUUUUUAUUUGCUUUUGUAUCCGAUCUCUCUCGGAUGUUUUAUAAAUAGAAUAAAACUAGAAAAAACAUUAAAUUUCGU